AUGAAUGGAAAUGCUGAAGCUGAUUCUACCCUUGUUUUCGACAAAGAAACAUUGGAUAAAGUCUAUGAAAAAGUAGCUCCAUCGAUUGUGAAAGUCUUGCUAAAACCAUUUAGCACGGGAUUUGUUGUCUCGUCCACAGAGAAACAUAACAUGGUAGCUGUUUGUUCCAUGUUGUUAAUUGAGUGCAAAGAGAAGAUACGAGUCCGCUAUUCUGAUGGAGAUACUGCUGUUGUUGAUCAUACUGAAAAAGUCUCUAACAGUGAUAUGACUAUACUGUACGCACGUAAAACUGGAAAGGCACGUCCAGCAGUACAAUUUGGAGUCUUGGAGGAUAUCGUAUGCCAAAAGAUUGUGAGUCUUUUUCCUUACAAGGACGGCCUCAUGAUGUUCAAAGGUCACAUAGGUUUAGAUGAUUGUACCUGUGAGGAUUCCAGUGGGAACAUUAUUCCAGGCCAAAAUAUCUUCUCAUUCACUUGUCCUGUGGGGGGUUCUUACUCGAUACAUUUAUACAUUAUUCCAGGCCAACCUUUAAGCCGUGGUGCAGGGCAGAGAUUGUGA
RNAcentral lists this ribosomal RNA (558 nucleotides) under Triticum aestivum (bread wheat). Its description in RNAcentral is "partial small subunit ribosomal RNA". The record is from RNAcentral. Lineage: Eukaryota; Viridiplantae; Streptophyta; Magnoliopsida; Poales; Poaceae.